CACACACACGAGCCGCCGCCGCCGCGCAGCCAGCAGAAUGAGCCAUCCAGCCCGGGCAGAACGGGGACCCGGGCUCCGCCAGCGCUGGGCACGGCCCACCUGAGCCGCGGGCGUGGGGGGAGCCGGGGUUGGACUGCCAAUCCUGUGCCUCUGCCCGGUGCACCCACGGGUUGCACCACGCCCGAGUCAUGAUCUUCUAAAUCUUUUGAGUCCCUUCGGAUGGGGCAGCAACCGUGUUGGAGCAUCGUGACCCCACUCACCCGGGUGUCCGGGACCCCGGAAUCCCCCCCGCGCAGCAGUGGUCUCUCCCGGCGCUGUGGCUCCUCCAGAUAAAGCAGCGAUUUCAGCCCAAAUGUUUCUCAAUUUUUAUUGAAUGCUGCAAAGCCGAGAUCGUCUGGCGCGGCUGACAGGAGCAGAGAGAGGGGACCCGGGGCGGGGGGGCGGAGAACGAGGAAGGGGCUGCCCAAAGCCGGGGGACUGGCCCUACCUGUCAGGACUGGGAGUGCCACCCCCUUGCCUGAGCCCUGCCACCCGCGUCCCUGCGGCUUCGAAAGGGACUGAACUGCAAUGAAUGAGGGGGGGAAAGAGGGGGGAGCUGGGAACAAAACAGGCGGCUUUCCCAGGCUCUAGGGUUGGGCUGGGGCCUCUGCCUGGGAGAGUGGGCCUUGGCGCUCGCCCGCGGGCCCGGGGUUCUCUCUGGCAGGAGUGGCGGGCCCUGGCAGGCAGACCCCGGGCCUUCCCUCCUUGCCUUGUUGUCUUGCGCGAGCCCACCGGCCCCUCCCCGCGGACCUUCCCAGCCGCACAUUGUAUUUCUCCUCUGUUGAUCUGGUUCCCGGUGCAGUUUGCGAGCAGGGGUGUGGAGGAGGCCCGGGGGUGGGGGGUGCCUAGCGACAGCCCCUACUCCACCCCUCGGUGGAAUGGACCUGUCUGGGCUGCUCGGUUUUGUGCAUAGCUGUCCCUUCGGGGAGGACACAACCCCUUGUUCCAUUUCUGCGGGCCCAGCCUGCUCUGACAGCCUUCAUCACCAUCAUCAUUAGCGGGCUUGCUGAGACCGGUGGUGGGAGGACUGGAGGGAUCCUGCGGGAACCACCCAGGCAGGGCCCCUAGCCUUUGGGACCCGCGCUCCUGAAAACACACUUAGCCAACAGCACUGGCCAUGAUCAUUGCAGUGGGUGGAAGAAUGCUUUAGAGAGACAAGCUGUUAAAAGUCCAGUGCAGACCUCUCCAGUCCCUUUGUCCCACAAACUAACAAAACGUCCCAGAGAUGUCUUCCCUUCAAGGCCCAUCAGACAGACUGUCCUGAGACACCAACUGAGGUUUGGAAAUUUGGGGCACCCUUUGAAGCAUUGAGAGUCCAUCAGAAAUGAACCUCAGCCUGGGAGGCCACCUGGAAAUGGUGGGCCUCGAAGGUUGCAAAGGAGGCAGAACAGAAGUGAGCCGGGGAGAAUAGAAGACAACAGGGAAGAUCACCCUCUCUGCCAACACCUUCCACUCCGUGUUGCCUGCAGACUCCUGCCUGGGGUAGAAGUUAAUUGGGUGCCCUGGCUUUUUUUUUUUUUUCUCUGUUUCUCCUCAUCAGACAAACCAAGGGGCUUAGGAUUUGGUGGACUCUGAGCCUUUUCUCCUCCAUCCCUGGUGUAUACAGGUGGCCCCUCCCCAUUUCCAGAAACAUUUAUGGGCCAUCUAUUACAUCCUGGGUGGAUUCAGCUCUGCUUUCUUUCUAUCCCCUGGGGACCCUUGUCACCAUCCACCCACCCCUAGCAAUUGCUUCCUUCUUGAUUUAAAAUCCUUUUUGAUUCAAAAUACAAAUACUAGAUUUUAGCAUCCUUUGAGAACCCGGGUACCAGGGAUGAGGCUCGGGGCUGUUCACGUUUCCAGAUUUUCCUCUCCUCCAUUGUCACAACUCUGGUGGCAGGUGCAGGCCAUCUCAGGUGAUGAGACUGAGGACCAGGUAAGUCAUCUGCUCAAGGCCAAAUAGCGCAUCGGAGCUAGGAUUCAAGCAGUGUCUGACACCCACACUCAUCCCUUGGGCCUUGCAUAGGUCCAUAGAACACGUUUAUUCAGUUAGCCAACUUCCCACAGUCACUGAAAACCUUAUCAUUAAUUGAUAGCAGUCUGGACUUUUACCUGGCCAAACGCAAAAAAAAAAAAAAAAAAAAAUCACUGUAGCAAUAAACAAAGCCCCGUAUCUUCCCCAUCCCGUUCUCCCUCCGUGUUGUAUGAUUCCCCAUUUGAGAUCCUAUAGAAAGGCUGAGUCUUGUCAGCCAUCCAAGGCCUUCCUCUCUGCUCUCUUGGCAACUGCCUUCGACUCCGCCUUUGUCCCAGCCAAACCCUAUCCAGCUUUCUCUGCUCUGUGACCAGGAUUCCACCUCAUCAACCCCUUACUAAGUGCCUUCACUAACUUUGGCCUCUUCGGGACUGACACCCAUUUGCUUAGGAUUUUCCGGAAAGAUGAUCACGGGUUCCCUUGCUGGGGCCUGGGGAUAGUUUGAUUAUCUUCAGUUUGCAUAUUGCCUCUCAAACCCCCAGCAUAUUAGAUGUUUCCUAAUGGGGAACCUGCCCCUCCAGGUGUAGCAGAGGCUGGAGAGUGAGCUUUGGAUCCAGACCCGGUCCCUCACUGCACAGGAAGAGACGGCUGGAAGCUUCAUUUGUCUAAUGACAACAGCUCCCCGCAUUUGCAAUCACGCUUUAACAGUUUACAAAGCAGUGUUCACACCCAUCCAGUCGGCUCAUGAUAAUUCAACGAGCGGAGCCUCCCACCCCCAGCACCAGCCUCUAGAAGGGGAAAGCGGGAUCCAGAGAGGGAAAGGUACUUGCCCAAGUACUCACAGCACUGUUAGCUGUGCAUCGCUGCAGUCAUAGAGAGAAAUCUGAUGACCUCACUUGUCUGUGUCUCUUUCUGUCUCACUUGAUUGACAAACAUGAGUUGGGCAUUGCCUACGUGCCAGGCACUGGGGAGGCAGGAAUGCAGCUGAGGACCUGUUAGACAAGACCCCGCAGGAGUCCCAAAGGGGGACAAAAUAAUCAACAAUGAUCCAGGCCAGGAAGACAAUAAAGCUGGGUGACAGAGCGCUGAGUGACCCUGGGGGUGGGGAGGGUGGGGUCAGAGAAGCCUGUCUGAGGAGGGAGUAUGACAGCUGAAAGCCAGGCCAAACAAAUGUGGGGACGGGACCUGCUGGGUGUUUCCUACUUGUCGAUACCUUGUCUCCCACUGUCUUACCUGCCCAGUCACUGGACUGAUGGGAGCCCUUGGUCACGUGUGGAUCAGAGCACACCUCCAACCACUGCCGAGCUGGAGGAUCUGAGCAGAUACUUGGCUAUACCUCUGUCCCUGCCCUCUCUUCGCUGGGUGACCUCAGGAAAGACCUUCAGUUCUCUGAACCUAAGCAGGAGUGUUUCUAAUUCUACCCAUACAGAGCUCAUAGGUCAGCACUGCCCAAAAGAAAUCUAAUACCGGCUCAUAUGUAAUUUUAAAACUCUAGUAGCCAUAUUAAAAAAAAAAUCAAAUGAAGGACUAGGGGACCUGUAGCUUAGAGGUACACCUUGCUUACUCAGCAUGCAUGUGGUCUUGAAUUCUUCUUCUUCUUCUUUUUUUAAAUAAGGAGUUCCUAGGUUUUUGGUUUUAAAUUUAAUUUAAUUUAUUUAAUGUGCAUUUGUGUUUUUGCCUUUGUGUGUGUCUAUGUGAGGAUGUCAGAAUCCCUGAAAUUGGGGUUACAGACAGGUAUGAGCUGCCAUAUCCGGUGUUGGGAAUUGAACCUUCCUCUGGAAGAGCAGCCAAUGCUCUUAACUGCUGAGCCAUCUCUCCAGCUGCAGCCCUGGGCUCUAAUACCACCUCCAAGAAAAAUACAAGGAGGCUUUGAAUAACCCGGUUCUCCUGCCCCAGCUUCCCCAAUACUGAGAUUACAAGAGGGAGGACGACACCAGCUACAAUCUGAGAGGGAGGACCACACAGGCUGCAAUCUGGCACAUUUUUGGUAUAACUACAGCCUUGUAUGCACAGUGCUGACUCCUGACUUUCUUCUCCUAGCACACAGUGUAUGUGUGUUCUGGUUGUUACAUCAUGACUAAGGGCGACAGACUCCUCCAGGGACCAGAAGGCUUUCCUGGAUCCUCAUUUGUCUUCUUCAGUAAAUACAACCCCCUAUCCUGACAUUCAAGGCUCCCCAGAGGCUGGACGACUUCAUUCCCCAGCAUCAUCUCCGCUGUUCAACCCAGGCCCUGUUUCCUGUGGUAUUCUCCCUGUGCUCAGCUCUUGGCUCUUGUCAUCCACAGAUCCUCUCUGCCACACUCUCCAUGCCAUUCUCAAAGUCCUGUCACAUGACGCCCACUCCAACAGACCUGCCACAGAUACCUUCACCAGCAAGCUGAUGGCACACGCCUUGAUUUCCUUCACCCCACCCCCAAUUGUCUCACAGCACAGAGAGUGGGGGAGGGUUGAACCUAGAGAAUGAUAUGUUGGGGCCAUGUGUGACUUUGAGCAGGAAAAGUCCUUAACUUCCUUAAUUCUCAGUCUCUUUAUUAUUUUGUUUGUUGAUUUUGUGUGUGUGUGUGUCUUUUUGUGCACAGCCUUGUCAUGUGAUUUAUGAUCCUCCUGCCUCAACCUCCUCAAUGUUGGGAAUGUAGGCAUGAACUUUAUGUCUGGCUAUUGCUUUAUCUACAAAAUGGGUCUGAACCUUACAGAUUCAUUAACAGAGCAUAAUAAAGCUGAACGUGAGGGCUUA
Molecule: long non-coding RNA, 4721 nt
Organism: Mus musculus (house mouse)
Lineage: Eukaryota; Metazoa; Chordata; Mammalia; Rodentia; Muridae
Product: predicted gene, 31536
Exons: 4
Source: RefSeq, a predicted model, not a curated record